GGAAGGGCCAUCUGCGUGGCGACCCCAAACCUCCCACCGGGUUCGGCGGCACGGAUCUGGCGAGGCCGAGAGGCAGAAAGCCGCCUGAACACUCGCAGGACCCGGACCCGGGACGUGCCCACGACCUCAAAUAGACUGUGCCAUCGUCCAUGUCCGCCGGGCAGCGCCGCGGAGUGGAGCCUCGCGGGGCUGCUCCUCGUUUCUUAGAUAGGCUCUGCCAGGCUGUGCUCCCUGGAUUCCCGACCGGAUUCCGACGCCGGGCUGGGAGCUGGGCCUGGGGCCGGGGCCGCUGUCCCGGUCCGGGGAGAUCAGAGCCCAAAGCGCCCGAGAAAUCUGCCAGCCCAAGUUAAAACUGCGCAGAGGAAGAAAUCAGGGAGGAGAUUUCAAAGCGGGUGCGAAGCGACAGGACGAGCACGGGCUACGGCCAUGGUCCUGUUGGUCCCGCUGCCCACCCUGCCCCCUUCCUUUAUUCCCCAUUACUGGACUCUGCGAUCGGCCAGGCUGAGUCCCUCCCUCGGGCUCACAGGCAGCUCCAGGAGGGGGAGCCGAACCCUCUCUGCCAUGUCCGGGUCUCGGCCUCGAACUGUCCCCGAGGCCCAAGCUGCAAGCCCCUGCACGUACGCACGUCCUUCGGCCA
This 637-nucleotide long non-coding RNA is filed under the name Fukomys damarensis (Damara mole-rat). Its description in RNAcentral is "lncRNA (ENSFDAG00000022948.1)". The record is from RNAcentral. Lineage: Eukaryota; Metazoa; Chordata; Mammalia; Rodentia; Bathyergidae.